RNAcentral lists this small nuclear RNA (107 nucleotides) under Choloepus hoffmanni (Hoffmann's two-fingered sloth). The record is from RNAcentral. Lineage: Eukaryota; Metazoa; Chordata; Mammalia; Pilosa; Megalonychidae.
GUGUUUGCUUCGGCAGCACAUAUACUAAAAUUGGAACGAUACAGAGAAGAUUAGCAUGGCCCCUGCACAAGGAUGACACACAAAUUCCUGAAGCAUUCCAUAUUUUU